GGUCUUGGUCUCGAACCUCACAUUACC
This 27-nucleotide ribosomal RNA is filed under the name Crotalus lutosus abyssus. Its description in RNAcentral is "Crotalus oreganus abyssus partial 12S ribosomal RNA". Lineage: Eukaryota; Metazoa; Chordata; Lepidosauria; Squamata; Viperidae. The record is from RNAcentral.